AACGCAUCUUGCACCUGUUGGUAUUCCAACAGGUACGCCUGUUUCAGUAUCAAAAACAACCCUCUUUUAAACAUUUUUUUUUUGUUUGAAAGGAUUUGAAAGUAUCUCUUUUGAAGAGAGACUUUUUAAAAUACUAAGGCCUGGAAUUUGUUCUACCUGCCUGAACUUUUUUUUAAUAUAAAGGAAAGCUCUUGCAAUUUGGACUUUUUAUUGGGGCCUCUCAAUAAAAUCAUUUUUUAAAUCUUGAUCUGAAAUCAGGUGGGAUUACCCGCUGAACUUAA
This 281-nucleotide unclassified non-coding RNA is filed under the name uncultured Mucorales. Its description in RNAcentral is "sequence contains 5.8S rRNA gene, ITS2, 28S rRNA gene". Lineage: Eukaryota; Fungi; Mucoromycota; Mucoromycetes; Mucorales. The record is from RNAcentral.